This 427-nucleotide ribosomal RNA is filed under the name uncultured prokaryote. RNAcentral describes it as "bacterial SSU rRNA". It matches the Rfam family "Bacterial small subunit ribosomal RNA", at positions 355 to 774 of the family's 1533-position model. The record is from RNAcentral.
UGGGGAAUUUUGGACAAUGGGCGGAAGCCUGAUCCAGCCAUGCCGCGUGAGUGAAGAAGGCCUUCGGGUUGUAAGGCUCUUUCGGUGGGGAAGAAAUGGCACUUUCUAAUACAGAGUGUUGAUGACGGUACCCGCAUAAGAAGCACCGGCUAACUACGUGCCAGCAGCCGCGGUAAUACGUAGGGUGCGAGCGUUAAUCGGAAUUACUGGGCGUAAAGCGUGCGCAGGCGGUUGUGUAAGUCAGAUGUGAAAUCCCCGGGCUCAACCUGGGAACUGCAUUUGAGACUGCACGGCUAGAGUGUGGCAGAGGGGGGUAGAAUUCCACGUGUAGCAGUGAAAUGCGUAGAGAUGUGGAGGAAUACCGAUGGCGAAGGCAGCCCCCUGGGCCCUUACUGACGCUCAUGCACGAAAGCGUGGGGAGCAAACG